RNAcentral lists this ribosomal RNA (266 nucleotides) under uncultured archaeon. RNAcentral's name for it is "partial 16S ribosomal RNA". It matches the Rfam family "Archaeal small subunit ribosomal RNA", at positions 719 to 982 of the family's 1478-position model. The record is from RNAcentral.
ACAGUCACACAUUAGACUACCCGGGUAGUCCCAGCCGUAAACAAUGUGCGUUAGGUGUGUCGGUAACCACGUGUUACUGAUGCGCCGAAGAGAAAUCGUGAAACGCACCACCUGGGAAGUACGGUCGCAAGGCUAGAAACUUAAAGGAAUUGGCGGGGAGCACCACAACAGGUGGAGCCUGCGGUUUAAUUGGAUUCAACGCCGGACAUCUCACCGGAUAAGACAGCUGAAUGAUUGUCAAUCUGAAGGUUUUACAUGACUAGCUG